AUAUAAAGGUACAAUUAUAAUUUAAUCCCAUAUAUUAUUUUUUUUUUAUCGCGAGGUGGAAAAUGCGUUCUUUACGCACACCUCGGAAACCGCUUUCCCAAGGUAAUGUGGGACUCAGCACACCUGCCACUACCAACUAAAAAUCACCUCAGUGCAAAUUCUCAAUGGACUUUAAAGGGAUGGACUCCGAAACACCAGAGGUUUCACUUCAAGGACAACACAGGUGGAGGAUGACCAGUCAAGAUCAGCCAUUCUGCCAACAGAGGAGGACGAACACGGGACGGAUCAAGAUGAACGAACACAAGAUAAAUCACAACAGGAUCUAUUCAACCGUACACGCACACCGGGGAAAAGAAGAUACAUACAUAUACACAGAAGAACAUACAUGGACUUAUAUUUGUAUCCGGUGACCGAUUGACCAUGCGGGAGAUCAGCCGCCAGCCGUACUGUCGGUAUAAGAGAAGGCUCAAUAGACUUCUGACUCCUGUCACAACUAGGGGAUAAAUCAAGAAACCCUUGUUCCUUAAAGGAUCGGCCAUGUCCAAGUCCUGUAAAGGAAUCGCUCGAUGCAUCUAUUGUGGUGGCCAGAAACACCCAGAAGAAGAAAGAUGCUCCGAAAAAAAAAUCCGCCACGCUAUCUUAACUGCAAAGACUACACAACCUGGCUACUCACCAUUCCUGCCGAACAUCGAUCUGCCCAGAUGUUGGCAGUAAAGGAAAACAUUCCCCUACGGGAUGCCAAAAAAAUAAUCUCCCUCAAGAAGCUCAUGCUGGAUUGCUGUUCGAUUUUUGCCGCCAUAACGUGUAGCAUAACUUCGCAAUUUGUGCUUUUGGCAUGUUUUGCUAUCUGGGUAUGGACUGCCAGUGGCUAACUUCACACUUGUUCACUUGUUGUUAAAAAGAGGCCACAUCACUAACUAAGAACCAAAUAGGCGCGAGUGUAAGGCGAGAAAUCGCCGCGGAAGCGCGACAUUUUUGGGGGCUCGUCCGGGAUCGGCACAUGGCGGAGCGUCAAGCGGAAUUGACGGAGAAGGAUUUAGCGACAGGAGUAAAACAAGAAGGAGCAUCAGGGAGACGGGGGAUUGUCUCGGCCAGAAAGAGAGCUUGCACGCGUGCAGAGGAAUCGGAAAUGACUCCGAGUCUGGAGAUGGUCCUUCGCCUAUGACUAUGGAAGAGCUUUGCCUUCUUAGAGAGGAGCGAGCGGAGCGGCGACGCGGAGCGAAAGAGCAGGGAGGAUCGAUGCGGCAGUUCGAGGAGCAUGAACUAUCCAUACCCGGCCAGUCAAAUCCAAUUUUAAAUCUCGGUUUAAAAUUAAAGCCAUUGUUGUAGCCAGAUCUACAAUCAAUAAUAAAAUAACAACUAAUAAUAAAAGUAGUCCGCAU
This 1382-nucleotide long non-coding RNA is filed under the name Pogonomyrmex barbatus (red harvester ant). Its description in RNAcentral is "uncharacterized LOC112552384, transcript variant X3". The record is from RNAcentral. Lineage: Eukaryota; Metazoa; Arthropoda; Insecta; Hymenoptera; Formicidae.